This 450-nucleotide ribosomal RNA is filed under the name uncultured bacterium. RNAcentral describes it as "partial 16S ribosomal RNA". It matches the Rfam family "Bacterial small subunit ribosomal RNA", at positions 354 to 796 of the family's 1533-position model. The record is from RNAcentral.
GUAGGGAAUCUUCCACAAUGGACGAAAGUCUGAUGGAGCAACGCCGCGUGAGUGAAGAAGGUCUUCGGAUCGUAAAACUCUGUUGUUAGAGAAGAACGUGCAUGAUAGUAACUGAUCAUGUAAUGACGGUAUCUAACCAGAAAGCCACGGCUAACUACGUGCCAGCAGCCGCGGUAAUACGUAGGUGGCAAGCGUUGUCCGGAAUUAUUGGGCGUAAAGGGAACGCAGGCGGUUUUUUAAGUCUGAUGUGAAAGCCUUCGGCUUAACAGAAGAAUAGCAUUGGAAACUGGAAGACUUGAGUGCAGAAGAGGAGAGUGGAAUUCCAUGUGUAGCGUUGAAAUGCGUAGAUAUAUGGAGGAACACCAGUGGCGAAAGCGGCUCUCUGGUCUGUAACUGACGCUGAGGUUCGAAAGCGUGGGUAGCAAACAGGAUUAGAAACCCUGGUAGUCC